This 376-nucleotide ribosomal RNA is filed under the name uncultured organism. RNAcentral's name for it is "partial 16S ribosomal RNA". It matches the Rfam family "Bacterial small subunit ribosomal RNA", at positions 527 to 897 of the family's 1533-position model. The record is from RNAcentral.
GUAGGUGGCAAGCGUUGUCCGGGAAUUAUUGGGGCGUAAAGCGCGCGCAGGCGGUUCUUUAAGUCUGAUGUGAAAGCCCACGGGCUCAGCCGUGGAGGGUCAUUGGAAACUGGAGAACUUGAGUACAGAAGAGGAAAGCGGAAUUCCACGUGUAGCGGUGAAAUGCGUAGAGAUGUGGAGGAACACCAGUGGCGAAGGCGGCUUUCUGGUCUGUAACUGACGCUGAGGCGCGAAAGCGUGGGGAGCAAACAGGAUUAGAUACCCUGGUAGUCCACGCCGUAAACGAUGAGUGCUAAGUGUUAGGGGGUUUCCGCCCCUUAGUGCUGCAGCUAACGCAUUAAGCACUCCGCCUGGGGAGUACGGCCGCAAAGGCUGA